AAACCAACAGGGAUUGCCUUAGUAACGGCGAGUGAAGCGGCAAAAGCUCAAAUUUGAAAUCUGGUACCUUCGGUGCCCGAGUUGUAAUUUGGAGAGGGCAACUUUGGGGCCGUUCCUUGUCUAUGUUCCUUGGAACAGGACGUCAUAGAGGGUGAGAAUCCCGUGUGGCGAGGAGUGCGGUUCUUUGUAAAGUGCCUUCGAAGAGUCGAGUUGUUUGGGAAUGCAGCUCUAAGUGGGUGGUAAAUUCCAUCUAAAGCUAAAUAUUGGCGAGAGACCGAUAGCGAACAAGUACAGUGAUGGAAAGAUGAAAAGAACUUUGAAAAGAGAGUGAAAAAGUACGUGAAAUUGUUGAAAGGGAAGGGCAUUUGAUCAGACAUGGUGUUUUGUGCCCUCUGCUCCUUGUGGGUAGGGGAAUCUCGCAUUUCACUGGGCCAGCAUCAGUUUUGGUGGCAGGAUAAAUCCAUAGGAAUGUAGCUUGCCUCGGUAAGUAUUAUAGCCUGUGGGAAUACUGCC
RNAcentral lists this ribosomal RNA (513 nucleotides) under uncultured Saccharomyces. RNAcentral describes it as "eukaryotic LSU rRNA". It matches the Rfam family "Eukaryotic large subunit ribosomal RNA", at positions 62 to 578 of the family's 3401-position model. Lineage: Eukaryota; Fungi; Ascomycota; Saccharomycetes; Saccharomycetales; Saccharomycetaceae. The record is from RNAcentral.